This 254-nucleotide ribosomal RNA is filed under the name uncultured bacterium. Its description in RNAcentral is "partial 16S ribosomal RNA". It matches the Rfam family "Bacterial small subunit ribosomal RNA", at positions 524 to 776 of the family's 1533-position model. The record is from RNAcentral.
UACGUAGGGUGCGAGCGUUAAUCGGAAUUACUGGGCGUAAAGCGUGCGCAGGCGGUUUUGUAAGACAGGCGUGAAAGUCCCCGGGCUCAACCUGGGAAUGGCGCUUGUGACUGCAAAGCUGGAGUGCGGCAGAGGGGGAUGGAAUUCCGCGUGUAGCAGUGAAAUGCGUAGAUAUGCGGAGGAACACCGAUGGCGAAGGCAAUCCCCUGGGCCUGCACUGACGCUCAUGCACGAAAGCGUGGGGAGCAAACAGG